GAUGAACGCUAGCGGCAGGCUUAACACAUGCAAGUCGAGGGGCAGCACUUGUAGCAAUACAUGGUGGCGACCGGCGCAAGGGUGCGUAACGCGUGAGCAACAUGCCCGUAUCAGGGGGAUAAUCCAGGGAAACUUGGUCUAAUACCCCAUAGCAAUUAUUUGAGGCAUCUUAAAUAAUUUAAAGCUUUGGUGGAUACGGAUUGGCUCGCGUGACAUUAGCUAGAUGGUAAGGUAACGGCUUACCAUGGCUACGAUGUCUAGGGGUUCUGAGAGGAAGAUCCCCCACACUGGAACUGAGACACGGUCCAGACUCCUACGGGAGGCAGCAGUGAGGAAUAUUGGACAAUGGAUGGAAAUCUGAUCCAGCCAUGCCGCGUGCAGGAAGACGGCCCUAUGGGUUGUAAACUGCUUUUGUGUGGGAGCAAUAAGGUCGAUGCGUAGACUGAUGAGAGUACCAUACGAAUAAGCAUCGGCUAACUCCGUG
RNAcentral lists this ribosomal RNA (484 nucleotides) under uncultured bacterium. RNAcentral's name for it is "bacterial SSU rRNA". It matches the Rfam family "Bacterial small subunit ribosomal RNA", at positions 28 to 507 of the family's 1533-position model. The record is from RNAcentral.